AGGGUUUGAUUCUGGCUCAGGACGAACGCUGGCGGCGUGCUUCAUACAUGCAAGUCGAACGAGAAGCAGGAGCUUGCUCCUGUGGAAAGUGGCGGACGGGUGAGUAACAUGUAGGAAAUCUGCCCAAGAGUGGGGGACAACAGUUGGAAACGACUGCUAAUACCCCAUAUGAGCCAAGCUGAAAUGCUUGUCUUGAAAACUCCGGUGCUCUUGGAUGAGCCUGCACCUGAUUAGCUAGUUGGCGGGGUAAAUGCCCACCAAGGCUAUGAUCAGUAGCUGGUUUGAGAGGAUGAUCAGCCACAAUGGGACUGAGACACGGCCCAU
This 324-nucleotide ribosomal RNA is filed under the name uncultured bacterium. RNAcentral's name for it is "bacterial SSU rRNA". It matches the Rfam family "Bacterial small subunit ribosomal RNA", at positions 8 to 334 of the family's 1533-position model. The record is from RNAcentral.